GACAAUAAUCUGCUGUAAAGGCAGAACGUUACUAAGCCACUGCAUGAUAAAUACCCUCAGCCUGCUGAAAGUAAUUCAUACAAGCUGCAGCUGUGGCUAAGAGGAGUUUCUGUAGAAGACUGUCAGGCUCCUCUGUAACAUUAACAUAAUGUGGCUCUGAAAUUUCUACUUUAGAAACCAACAGUAAGGGAGCUCUGAAAGUCCCAGAGCUGUUUUCUGCUCCAGAAGUGCCUAAGACAUGAAGGGCUUUGAAAAGCUGUCAGAAUCCUCUCCCUUUCACCGGCAUGCAUCCUGGUGAAGCCGUCUUCAAUUCUGAACUGCUGGUUCAGCUUUGCUUUACAGCUUUGGCACAGUACAGAUGUGAUGCAGCUGCAUUACACACUAUUCAACUCACUUAUUCCUGGUUUGAACUAGCUUCAGUUUUCACUGAAUCUUCUUGUACUUGGUCGACUACACUACAGAACCUGCUGUUACCAAAUCACCAUCCACCAUGAAGGCAAGUAAAGAUGGCCUUGGCAGUGUAGUCCUACCAGAAUUAAUUGCACCCAGGCAAAUAACUUAUUCUCAGUUCUUAGAAACAUAUCUUUCCUUUUUCCCUAUCAGGAGAAGGUCAAAUACAGACUUCUCCUGUGCCAAAUACAACAUUUUUUGAGUGAGUAGAUUGUCAUCUGUAAUUACAAAAUAUUUCAAGGACGUUUUAGCACUGACAGCCUGAGACCUCCAUGUGUCAGUCAGAAUGAAGUCCCUUAUGAUAGCUCAGCUUUCCUCCCUGCCGAUUACAGGAUGGUGCAUGAGGAGCCCAUCAUGCUGCUCCUCCAUGGGACAUGGUAGCCUGCAGCAGUGGUCAGUGUCCAGUUUCUGGGCCACCUCCUGGCACAUGUGUCCGCAACAGCCAUUGUCACUUGCUUCUGCACUGUCAGAUUUCUGGGAAGAUCUGCCUGUUCAUCCUUGCUGUUUUCAAGAUAAACAGAUUAUAGUCUAAGAGGCUGAUCACAGGCAGCAGUGAUUUCUUCACCUUGAUAUAAGCUCUAUGCUUAGCUUUAUGCACUUACAACAGGGAAGGCAUCAGCUACAGUUUGGAAAAAUAUUCUGUAUUAAUUGCAAGAGAAAAAUUAGGAAAAUAUUUAUACAGAUUUAGUGACAUGCUUAUGAAAACUCUUUCAAAGCACCACCAAAAUAUCUGGCAUCUAGUUUUUAUUAGUAGUAUCUAGUUUCUGCUAAAUAAAAAAUACCCUAGAAUUUGGGUAACAAAAAUUUUUCUAGAACCUUUAAUAAAAGGUAUUAUUGACAUUGCUGAGUGUUUCAUCAGUGAAAAGUUAACUCUUCCUGAGAAGCUGCCAAGUGAGUAAAAACAAAGGUAGAAAUAAGAAGCGGCUGAAUUUGCUGGUGAGUUGUCUCAGGGUUACCUGAGAUAAAUGCAAAUCUUGCACAGAUGAAACUGUCAUCUAAAAAUGAUGGCUCCUCAUACAGCACAGCAACUACAGGUGCCCCUCCUCUGCAGCACAGGCAGCACACACAGGCGAGAUCCUGCUCUCCUCCACCUGCCUUGCAUCAACCCCCAGCAAGCAUGGGGAAACUAUUAAUAAAACAUCAGGUGAAAUAACUGUGCCUGCCUAAUGCUACAUAAUAAGCAAAGCCAAUAAGCAGUGCUUGGACUCUCCUUUCUUCUGACUUAAACUGAGAUUUUCUUGUUCAUGCAUGAACAGAUAAUUACCUCUCACUAUUUCUUAUUUUUCCUCUGCAUUAUAAGCAUAUGUAAAGGGCACUUAGAAAAAGCAGUCACAACCUAAAUUAAAACAUAAUACAAAAAGAAAAUGUUCAAUAGGCUGUAUGGGAAAGUGAUGUAACAGGUAUUACACACCAGAGAAAACAUGGCCUUUUCCUUCCAAGAGAUUUGCCCCUGGGCUUCCGUGCUUGCUUGUGUUUAGAGUUUCACAGCUUUUCCCUGUAGCAGGAACGGUGCCGUAGGCACGGUGAGGUUAUUGCAUGCAAUGCAGUGGAGCUGCCACCUCCCCACCCGUGUGCAGGAGGGUGCAGCCCCCCACCAGUGACCCAGCACUUCUCCAGGACUUGGGACUGAGCCCCCCCAGCCCCAGUAAGCAACCUCUGCCUUUUCCCCAGCAUCUGCUUCACAGCAUCUCCCUGGCAGGAGGAAAACGUCUGAUUUCUUAUUCCUCAGCUCAGAAUUUCUCAGUCUCAGCGCAUGAUAAAACACCACAAACCAGUCUGCAGAACAGCCAAGAAAAAGAAAAUACAAACCCAAACCAAUAUGUCCCACUCAGGCAUCAAAAAAGGGCAAUGUAGAGGAAACCGCAAGCCCUGGAGACCAGCACAACUUUGGUUUGGUUAUAAAGCCAUCAAUUUAUCCUUGUAACAUUAGAAACAGCAAGCUAAAUGCAAAUCCUGGAAGAUGGAAGAAGUUAAAUUGGUAGAUGGGAGCUGGCAGGUCACUGGAAAACUGUCACAUAAAUAAAUAUGUAUUAUCUCCCCAAGAAGGGCUAAAGCUAGUGUAAAACACCCCAACUAGUGUGAAACUGGCUUUAAUAAUUAA
This is a long non-coding RNA of Columba livia (rock pigeon), 2551 nucleotides long. RefSeq lists it as uncharacterized. The record is from RefSeq and is a predicted model, not a curated record. NCBI's taxonomy places the organism in Eukaryota, Metazoa, Chordata, Aves, Columbiformes, Columbidae. The transcript has 4 exons.